Molecule: ribosomal RNA, 497 nt
Filed under: uncultured bacterium
Lineage: Bacteria
Description: partial 16S ribosomal RNA
Rfam family: Bacterial small subunit ribosomal RNA
Source: RNAcentral
GAUGAACGCUGGCGGCGUGCCUAAUACAUGCAAGUCGAGCGAACAGACGAGGAGCUUGCUCCUCUGACGUUAGCGGCGGACGGGUGAGUAACACGUGGAUAACCUACCUAUAAGACUGGGAUAACUUCGGGAAACCGGAGCUAAUACCGGAUAAUAUAUUGAACCGCAUGGUUCAGUAGUGAAAGACGGUUUUGCUGUCACUUAUAGAUGGAUCCGCGCCGCAUUAGCUAGUUGGUAAGGUAACGGCUUACCAAGGCAACGAUGCGUAGCCGACCUGAGAGGGUGAUCGGCCACACUGGAACUGAGACACGGUCCAGACUCCUACGGGAGGCAGCAGUAGGGAAUCUUCCGCGAUGGGCGAAAGCCUGACGGAGCAACGCCGCGUGAGUGAUGAAGGUCUUCGUAUCGUAAAACUCUGUUAUUAGUGAAGACCAAUUGUGUAUGUAACUAUGCACGUCUUGACGGUACCUAAUCAGAAAGCCCCGGCUAACUACGUG